GGAGGUCACGUGGGAUUGCUUGAAAAUGGCGAAACGAAACUUGUGAAUCGUGCAUUUGCUCUUCUUGGUAGCUGCCAGAAAAUCGAAUCAAGCUUAUGGGACACUGGAUUACAGGUUGCUGCCACUACUCCAUGUGCCCGCAAUUGUCUUGCGUGUAUGAUUACACUAACGGCGUCGCCCACCACGGCGGAAGUGUUUUGCGUACACGCGUUUCAGCAUGAAGCCUGCAGGUGGACGUAAAUUGUAGAAGGCAGCUAGUGGGGGAGAAGAUCAUGGUCAUAGGUCAUGUGACUCCUGGAGCUCCCAGUGGGCUCCCUUGUGGAGUACUUUUCAGAACACACACACAUACAGUUUGCUCACAGAACCAACGAGUAGGAUGUUGCUUGAAUACUGAGAGAAAAUGGCGUAACACAUACAAAUAUCGUGUGACACAUAUGACAAUAAAAACAUUUUUCACGAGGGAUGCAUGAAACACUGUCGCAAUAUUGUGUGCAUGAACCAUUGUGUGUGACACAAGCCGUGGGGGCACACCGCCUCGGACACAUUUUGGGAAGCAUAAAACACAGUAUAUACAGAGCUAGUAUGGUGGAUGCUUCUUUUUUCUUUUUGGCCGUUAUGAGACAUCUUCGGCCGUAAUGAGACUACCUUCGGCCGUAUUGAGACUUUGGCCGUAACGAGACACUUGGGGAUUAAAGGA
Molecule: long non-coding RNA, 697 nt
Organism: Ornithodoros turicata
Lineage: Eukaryota; Metazoa; Arthropoda; Arachnida; Ixodida; Argasidae
Exons: 3
Source: RefSeq, a predicted model, not a curated record